UACGAAGGGGGCUAGCGUUGUUCGGAAUUACUGGGCGUAAAGCGAGCGUAGGUUGCUCAGCAAGUCAGUGGUGAAAUCCCAGGGCUCAACCCUGGAACUGCCAUUGAAACUGCUGAGCUGGAAUCUCAGAGGGGAUAGCGGAAUUCCAAAUGUAGGGGUGAAAUCCGUAGAUAUUUGGAGGAACACCGGUGGCGAAGGCGGCUAUCUGGAUGAGUAUUGACACUGAGGCUCGAAAGCGUGGGGAUCAAACAGG
This 253-nucleotide ribosomal RNA is filed under the name uncultured bacterium. RNAcentral describes it as "partial 16S ribosomal RNA". It matches the Rfam family "Bacterial small subunit ribosomal RNA", at positions 524 to 776 of the family's 1533-position model. The record is from RNAcentral.